This is a non-coding RNA of Ornithorhynchus anatinus (platypus), 492 nucleotides long. Lineage: Eukaryota; Metazoa; Chordata; Mammalia; Monotremata; Ornithorhynchidae. The record is from the annotation of a RefSeq genome assembly.
CUCUCCCAUUCACACCCACUCAGCCUAUGGGGUAGAGACAAGACUGUGGCAUCACAGGCAGACACACCCCACUUGGACCAGAGGAGUCCAAGCACCGAAACAGCCUCAAGCCGGGAGAAGGCCCAAUCCAGCCCUGACUCCGCCAUGGGCCCCGGGACAGUGUGGUUAGUGGCCGUAUGUGUCCUGGGAGCAGGUCCUGUGGACGCCGAAGUCACGCAGACCCCCAGACACCUGGUCACCAGCCAGGGACAGAACGUGACUCUGAGUUGUGUGCCUAUUUCCUCGCACUCUGUACUGUUCUGGUACCGGCAGCGCAUGAGGAAAGGAUUGGAGUUAGUGAUGUUCAUCCAGAACAAACAGAUCAUACAGGGAAUGCAAUCUAAUGAUAGCUCUCGGUUCUCCAUCUCGUGGUUCCAAAAAAAUUCCUGCCACCUGCACGUGAAGCACAGCUCGACCAGCGACUCGGCAGUUUACCUAUGUGCCAGCAGUUAG